AAGGAUCAUUACCGAGUUAGGGUCGCCUUUUCAGGUGCCCGACCUCCCAACCCUUUGUCUAUGAUACCACAGUUGCUUCGGCGGACCGAGGGUUCACACCUUCGCCUGGCUUACAGCCGGGAGAGCGUCCGUCGAUGGCCUCAUCUAAACACUUGAACCCAAAACCUGUCGUCUGAAACAUUUGAUAACUAAAUCAAAAAACAAAACUUUCAACAACGGAUCUCUUGGUUCUG
Molecule: unclassified non-coding RNA, 233 nt
Filed under: uncultured fungus
Lineage: Eukaryota; Fungi
Description: partial contains 18S rRNA, ITS1, 5.8S rRNA, ITS2 and 28S rRNA
Source: RNAcentral